Molecule: long non-coding RNA, 456 nt
Filed under: Manihot esculenta (cassava)
Lineage: Eukaryota; Viridiplantae; Streptophyta; Magnoliopsida; Malpighiales; Euphorbiaceae
Description: long non-coding RNA (MESC_LNC009318)
Source: RNAcentral
UCAUCUCAUAAUUUCAAAUCAUAGCACACAUGAUUCACAGCAUCAUCCACUGACUUCAAUACCAUAAGCCUCCAACCAUUCAACAACACAUGUACAAGAAAGGGGAGAAGAGAUAUCCACAUGAGCAAUAGAGUAGCAACUCCAGCCCUUAUUCCACGCUCAUACAGUAUACCUAGAGGAGCCUGGACCCCAUUCCUGUUUAAGUCCACCUGCUCCAGUCCACUGCUCUGCUAGUUGUCCCACCUUCUUUCAUUAAUUUUAAUUUCACAAUAGUUGCUACUUUUUUCACAAUUGACCCUGCAUCAAUUUCUAAAUGAUUAAACACAAUCUAAUUUCACUUCCACUAUAUAUAAUACACAGUAAAAAUGAAUGCAACUCUCCUUAUGGCAGCUAGCAAGGAUUUACCAGUAGUAUUUCGUGUAAGCCAACUGAUUUCUCGUCUCCAUUUCAUAGGCC